RNAcentral lists this ribosomal RNA (462 nucleotides) under uncultured bacterium. RNAcentral's name for it is "partial 16S ribosomal RNA". It matches the Rfam family "Bacterial small subunit ribosomal RNA", at positions 28 to 507 of the family's 1533-position model. The record is from RNAcentral.
GACGAACGCUGGCGGCGUGCUUAACACAUGCAAGUCGAGCGGUAAGGCCUUUCGGGGUACACGAGCGGCGAACGGGUGAGUAGCACGUGGGCGAUCUGCCCUGCACUUCGGGAUAAGCCUGGGAAACUGGGUCUAAUACCGGAUAUGACCUCCUAUCGCAUGGUGGGUGGUGGAAAGAUUUAUCGGUGCAGGAUGGGCCCGCGGCCUAUCAGCUUGUUGGUGGGGUAAUGGCCUACCAAGGCGACGACGGGUAGCCGACCUGAGAGGGUGACCGGCCACACUGGGACUGAGACACGGCCCAGACUCCUACGGGAGGCAGCAGUGGGGAAUAUUGCACAAUGGGCGAAAGCCUGAUGCAGCGACGCCGCGUGAGGGAUGACGGCCUUCGGGUUGUAAACCUCUUUCAGCAGGGACGAAGCGCAAGUGACGGUACCUGCAGAAGAAGCACCGGCUAACUACGUG